This 497-nucleotide ribosomal RNA is filed under the name uncultured bacterium. Its description in RNAcentral is "partial 16S ribosomal RNA". It matches the Rfam family "Bacterial small subunit ribosomal RNA", at positions 28 to 507 of the family's 1533-position model. The record is from RNAcentral.
GAUGAACGCUGGCGGCGUGCCUAAUACAUGCAAGUCGAGCGAACGGACGAGAAGCUUGCUUCUCUGAUGUUAGCGGCGGACGGGUGAGUAACACGUGGAUAACCUACCUAUAAGACUGGGAUAACUUCGGGAAACCGGAGCUAAUACCGGAUAAUAUUUUGAACCGCAUGGUUCAAAAGUGAAAGACGGUCUAGCUGUCACUUAUAGAUGGAUCCGCGCUGCAUUAGCUAGUUGGUAAGGUAACGGCUUACCAAGGCAACGAUGCAUAGCCGACCUGAGAGGGUGAUCGGCCACACUGGAACUGAGACACGGUCCAGACUCCUACGGGAGGCAGCAGUAGGGAAUCUUCCGCAAUGGGCGAAAGCCUGACGGAGCAACGCCGCGUGAGUGAUGAAGGUCUUCGGAUCGUAAAACUCUGUUAUUAGGGAAGAACAUAUGUGUAAGUAACUGUGCACAUCUUGACGGUACCUAAUCAGAAAGCCACGGCUAACUACGUG